GACGAACGCUGGCGGCGUGCUUAACACAUGCAAGUCGAACGAUGAAGCCGGAGCUUGCCCCGGUGGAUUAGUGGCGAACGGGUGAGUAACACGUGAGCAAUCUGCCCUUGACUCUGGGAUAACUGCGGGAAACUGUAGCUAAUACCGGAUACGACACCUUGGGGCAUCCCAGGGUGUGGAAAGAAUUUCGGUCAAGGAUGAGCUCGCGGCCUAUCAGCUAGUUGGUGAGGUAAUGGCUCACCAAGGCGACGACGGGUAGCCGGCCUGAGAGGGUGACCGGCCACACUGGAACUGGGACACGGUCCAGACUCCUACGGGGGGCAGCAGUGGGGAAUAUUGCACAAUGGGCGAAAGCCUGAUGCAGCAACGCCGCGUGAGGGAUGAAGGCCUUCGGGUUGUAAACCUCUUUUAGCAGGGAAGAAGCGAAAGCGACGGUACCUGCAGAAAAAGCACCGGCUAACUACGUGCCAGCAGCCGCGGUAA
Molecule: ribosomal RNA, 483 nt
Filed under: uncultured bacterium
Lineage: Bacteria
Description: partial 16S ribosomal RNA
Rfam family: Bacterial small subunit ribosomal RNA
Source: RNAcentral